This 474-nucleotide ribosomal RNA is filed under the name uncultured bacterium. RNAcentral's name for it is "SSU rRNA". It matches the Rfam family "Bacterial small subunit ribosomal RNA", at positions 26 to 518 of the family's 1533-position model. The record is from RNAcentral.
AGGACGAACGCUGGCGGCGUGCUUAACACAUGCAAGUCGAGCGGAAAGGCCCUUCGGGGUACUCGAGCGGCGAACGGGUGAGUAACACGUGAGCAACCUGCCCUUAGCUCCGGGAUAGCUCCGGGAAACCGGAAUUAAUACCGGAUAUGACCUAGGCCGACAUCGGCUGUGGUGGAAAGUUUUUCGGCUGGGGAUGGACUCGCGGCCUAUCAGCUUGUUGGUGGGGUAAUGGCCUACCAAGGCGACGACGGGUAGCCGGCCUGAGAGGGCGACCGGCCACACUGGGACUGAGACACGGCCCAGACUCCUACGGGAGGCAGCAGUGGGGAAUCUUGCGCAAUGGGCGAAAGCCUGACGCAGCGACGCCGCGUGGGGGAUGAAGGCCUUCGGGUUGUAAACCCCUUUCAGCAGGGACGAAGCGAAAGUGACGGUACCUGCAGAAGAAGCGCCGGCUAACUACGCGCCAGCAGCCGC